This 833-nucleotide unclassified non-coding RNA is filed under the name Hevea brasiliensis (rubber tree). The record is from RNAcentral. Lineage: Eukaryota; Viridiplantae; Streptophyta; Magnoliopsida; Malpighiales; Euphorbiaceae.
CAAGAACUUGCCUCUUAAAUUAACAUACUUGGUGAAACAUUUUGAUUAAAAUAAAUUCCAAGCAAUCAAACACUAUUACAAGCCAAAAGAAUUCAAACACACUUAACAAGAAAUAAAAGAAUUAUUCUUGUACGACCAUAGAUUAAACCAUGACCAUUCCAAGAAUUCCAGCUAUGGCAACAAUAAUCCACCCACAACAUCCUAAUAAAGCAAUGUUGCCUGUUGAUGCUGGUACUGGGGUUUGGUUGGGAGAAGGUGAAGUCGCUGGAGAUCCCAACUCCGACAACACGGUUAUGGUAAGUUUCAUGUUCUUAGACUCACAAUGGUUGCUCACACCACAAAUGUACCAUUUCUUGCCCGGAUAUGUGAGUGGGAUAGUAUCUUCUCCAGUGGUCAAGGCCUCCGCGCCAUCAGGUGCCUUACAUUGUUGGAAUCCAGUUCCAUUAACUCUGAUCACAUUGUGAGCUCCUGGUGAAUACCUAAAAACAAGUUUGUCUCCAACAUGGAACUCCUUUCCCUGAGCCCAAGCUUGAUAAUCAAAGUUGGUAGUCCAUCCUGUCUCAUCACCAACCACAAAUUCUGUAGCCAAAAUUGAAGGAACAAACACAGCUGCAAUGGCAAUGAUGAUGCAUAUCUUGGAAGAAGCCAUUACAAUUUCUUUCCCCACAAACUAAGCAACUUUCGUUUCUCUCUGUGAAUAUUGAUUUUCCUGAUGAGAUGCUCUGUGUAACUUGAUUGCCUAUUUAUUGCUUUUUGCUUUGCUUAUUUAUAGAGUUGAGUGAUCGCUCAAAACCAAAGUUAAUAUAACAAAUAUAGCAUAUGGGUCCGGCAAG